UACGUAGGUGACAAGCGUUAUCCGGAAUUACUGGGCGUAAAGCGCACGCAGGCGGUGGGGUAAGUCUGAUGUGAAAUCUCCUGGCUUAACUGGGAGGGGUCAUUGGAAACUGCCGUACUUGAGGCGAUGAGAGGGGUGUAGAAUUCCCGGUGUAGUGGUGGAAUGCGUAGAUAUCGGGAGGAAUACCAGUGGCGAAAGCGACACCCUGGCAUUAGCCUGACGCUCAUGUGCGAAGGCGUGGGGAGCGAACGGG
Molecule: ribosomal RNA, 253 nt
Filed under: uncultured bacterium
Lineage: Bacteria
Description: partial 16S ribosomal RNA
Rfam family: Bacterial small subunit ribosomal RNA
Source: RNAcentral